GCGGUGCCCUCCAGAUGCGUGGAACUGUAGUUCUCAUCAUCCCCAGCUAGUGUGUCCAUUGACUUCCCCAAAACGGUGCUGCUGCUCUUUCCUGGGCACAACUUUCUAAUAGUAUAUGCAAAGGGCUGUCCCAACGGAAAGACAAACUAAUGGGCCCAACAGUUUCCUUGCCUGAGCAGACAAAUCUCACCUGGAAUGCAUCUCACCCGGAAUGCUGAGUUCCUCUGGUUCAGUUCUCGAGCAAGUUGGCAAAGACCACAGAGUGGACAGCAACUCAUGACCAUCCAGUCUUCCAGGAUGGAACCCUGGGUAGAAAAGAAAGCCAGGCUGAAAUGGGAGAAGGCGGAGUGCUUGCUCAGCCCCAGAAAACAGGAUCGGCGUGGAACUGCUUCACCGAGUCCAGUCCUCUCUUUGUAGAGCUGCCACCUCUCUGAAAGGCUGAUCUGUCCACUUCUAGUUUAAGGAUAAAGAAUCAUCAGGACAGUGGCUCCUCCAUGAUUUGCUGUAGUAAGUGAAAAGCCAGGCACAGCAGUGGGAAAACACAGGAAUGUCCUGGGGGAAGAGGACACCCUUUCCCUGCUCUGCUUAACAAUGCAGUGAAUGGAUCAAAGCCUCACCUGGAAGCAUCCCAGGGGAUCUGUGUGCUUGUCCGCUCAGUCCGCAGUCCAGGCCAGGGGCACACGCUUAUGGGGAAGUGCAAGGCCUCUGUGGCUCAUGACCUUUCUUCCAAACUGAACGCAACAGUCCUUCGAGCAGAGGAAAAGGAUAACAGGAGCGACUAGUCCUGAUGUCUACAAGCUACUUCCAGUAUCAGAGACUGUUGCUGGGGAGCAGGGCGGCAAGAGGCCGAUGCUUUUCCGUCCAACUCGCAAGCCGGACCUUGGUCUGACCCUGCACAGCUUUCCUGAUGUUCUUCGAAUACCUUUUUACAGAGGACUAAUUGUUUUUCAAACAGAGGACUGUCCUCUGUCUCAUGGCGCACAUGGCCACCCUACUGACUAUUUUCAGAGCCUGGAAAUGUCCCUGGAGGGGCCAUAGCUGCAAAUCUUUCCUCCUGCUCUAACCGCUAUUCCCUAUGCCACAGCAAGAACUGAUUCCAGGAAUUUAGACUCCUGGCGCUCUGGAAUGAUAGGUGACCAGGUGAGAAGAGUGUGGUGAACCGGGUAGGAAAAACAGCCUGCGGCCUGAAUCAAAGCAAAGUCUUAGUGACCGGCAGUAGGACCUGUUGAGCUGGUAUUGUGUCUCCUAUUUUAGUUUUGGCUGUGUCCUUUCUGCCUUUUGCCCUCUGCAACAUGGUGCCAGAAAGCUCUUCUGAAACGGAAUUUGGCUCUGAGGGUCAACGCAGUUCUGCACCGAAGAGGUCCCCACUUCCUCUGUUGUAAUCAGGUGCCUGCCAGGGGUGGAAGGCAUAGGUUACAUUCAGACAGCACAAUAACUUAUACUCAAAGGUUCAGUGUGGGUUGUGGCUUCUCUGAACCUAGC
This is a long non-coding RNA of Varanus komodoensis (Komodo dragon), 1482 nucleotides long. RefSeq lists it as uncharacterized. The transcript is spliced from 6 exons. Lineage: Eukaryota; Metazoa; Chordata; Lepidosauria; Squamata; Varanidae. The record is from RefSeq and is a predicted model, not a curated record.